Hemicordylus capensis (graceful crag lizard) is the source of this 9681-nucleotide RNA transcript. It is a transcript of the gene named triadin, with no coding region annotated. The transcript is spliced from 53 exons. Lineage: Eukaryota; Metazoa; Chordata; Lepidosauria; Squamata; Cordylidae. The record is from RefSeq and is a predicted model, not a curated record.
CUUCAAAGAACUGUAAUUAUAUUAAUGAAGCUGCAGCAGUUCUUUCCAGCUCCUUUGCAUGUUGCUGCUUUUACCUGCUAUGUUGUCUUGUUUGGAGCGGGACAUCUUUUAUUUUAUUCUUUUUUUAAAAAUUCUGGUUAGUCCCUGAGUGUGGUUCCUAGGAUGCCAAAAAAGCCAUGCUAGAGAUUUGCUGAGAGCCAUGGCUAUUUUUGUUAGAAGCUGAUACUUUAGUCUGAGCUGCAAGCACUGCCUUGGGAAAGGGGUUAGUUUCUUGGGAGGUGGGGAGGGCAGGGCAGGGCUUUACAGAGGAUAGCUCAAAAGAAGCAGAAAAGAAGGGGAAAAAUACCCCCAAGAAACCAAGAACUGUAGAGGACUUCCCACCUUCUAAUUCUGCAUCUCCUGCGAGAGUCGGCACUGACCCUGACGUAUCCUCUCAGCUGCCAAUAUAACUUGACCUUUUCACCACUGUCACCAUUAUGACUGAGAUUACAGCAGAAGGACCUGUGUCCACCACAACAGUGAUAGACAGCAAGAAUGGAACAGUCCCUAUACCACAUAUAAAAAUGUCCAAGAAAUCAGUUUCAGAAGACUUUGUGACAACAUUCAGCUCACCAGCAGCAUGGCUACUUGUUGUUGCACUUAUCGUUACAUGGUCAGCUGUGGCUAUUGUCAUGUUUGACUUGGUGGAUUACAAAGGACUGGCAGGAAUACAUCAACUUGAUAUUGACAAAGAUGUGGGGAAAGAUGAGAUCCCUAGAGGGCGUUCUGUGAGCAAGCUUGCCACUGAUCCACUGAGAAUUGUCUAUGGUGCUGUAGAAGAGACCACAGAUUGGGUUUAUGGCUUUCUUUCAUUACUGUCUGAUCUCAUAUUUGAAGAUGAAGAAGAGAGUGAAAAAGGUGAAGUGGAACCUUCUGUGAAAAUAAAAGAAGAAAUCCAACCACCUGUCAAAAAGAAAGAGAUCCAGAUAGAGAAGCCUGAAAAACAUGAAAAAAUUGAAAAAAAGCCACCACCCAAAGAGAUCCAUAUAGACAAGCCUGAAAAACAUGAGAAAAUUGAAAAGAAGCCACCACCCAAAGAAAUUAAGAUAGAAAAACCUGAGAAAAAAGAGAGAGUUGAAAAGACACCACUCCCCAAAGAAAUUCACAAAAAGAAACCUGAAAAACCUGAGAAGCCAGAGAAACCUGAAAAACUAGAGAAACCUGAGAAACUAAAAAAAACUCAAAAGCCAAAGAAACUAGAAAAACCUGAAAAAAGGGAAGUCUCUAAAGCUAUACUCAGAGAAAAGACUGUAAAACAUGAAAAACCUGACAAGAAAGAAAAGCCAGAAAAGAGAGUCAAGCCUGAACGGCCUGAAAAACUGGAAAAGAAAGAAAAAGCCAUAGCUCCUCCCAAAGAGAAACCUGCAAAGCAAGAAAAGCCUAAGAAGAAAGCCCCUCCUUCUCCAAAAGACAAGAAGAGCAUCCAAGUUGAAGAAAAGGCUAAGAAGGAUGUGAAAGAAGGAAAACCAGAAGCCAGGACACUUGAAAGAGUGAAGCAUAAGGAAACCAAAGCAGAGGAAACUACAUCAACAAAAGCCAAAGCCAAAGCGAAGGAGGCGACAGCGCUGGCAGUUACAGAAAAGUCAGAUGUGGAAGAUCAAUAUGCAUUCUGUCGCUAUAUGAUUGACAUGUUUGCUCACGGGGAUUUUUAUACAGGACCAGCUCCUCACCUAUUUUUACCACAGACUCCAGCAAUGACCCCUGCAUUGCCAGGUCCUGAAGUGGGAAAGCCUAAUGUAACAGCUGCAAAAGUAAUGAAAGAAGAAAAGAGAAAAAAGAUAAUUCAAGAAAAGAAAACUAUUACUGAAAUAAAAAAGAAAGGAGCAGAAGAGGAAAAAAGGGUAAUCCAUGAAAAGAAAGUUCUCCCUGAAAUUAAAAAGAAAGAAGAGGAAAAGAAAGUAACCCAUGAGAAGGAAGUCAUUCCUGAAAUUAAAAAGAAAGAAGAAGAAAAGAAAGUAACCCAUGAGAAGAAAGUCAUGCCUGAAAUUAAAAAGAAAGAUGCAAUGCCAAUUUCUUAUCUUUUUCUUCACGUCUUGGAAGCAGAAGAGGAAAAGAAAAUAACCCCUGAGAAGAAAGUCAUUCCUGAAAUUAAAAAGAAAGAAGAAGAAAAGAAAGUAACCCCUGAGAAGAAAAUCAUGCCUGAAAUUAAAAAGAAAGAAGAGGAAAAGAAAAUAACCCAUGAGAAGAAAGUCAUUCCUGAAAUUAAAAAGAAAGAAGAGGAAAAGAAAGUAACCCAUGAGAAGAAAGUCAUUCCUGAUAUUAAAAAGAAAGCAGAGGAAAAGAAAGUAACCCAUGAAAAGAAAGUCAUUCCUGAAAUUAAAAAGAAAAGUAUGCUACUUGAAGCAGAGGAAGAAAAGAAGGUGACCCAUGAGAAGAAAGUUAUUCCUGAAAUUAAAAAGAAAGACAUGGAACAGGAAAAGAAAGUAACCCAUGAAAAGAAAGCCAUUCCUGAAAUUGAACAGAAAGGGAAAAAAGUAGAAAGAAAGAAAGCUCCUGAGAAGAUAGCUGUCCCCGAAGUUAAAAAAGCAGACAAGAAAGAAGCUGUUUUGACCAAAGAACUGAAAAAGCCAGCAAAAGCUCCUGCAGCCGAAGCAGCUUCUGCAAAAGUGGUAACACCAGUUUCCAAGACACCAGUGGCAGCUAAGGCAACAGCAGCUAAGCCUACAAUAGAACCACACAAGAAAGAGAAGCAGGUAGAAACUGCCAAGCUACCAAAGAAAGAAGUACCUGUAAAAGCACCUGCAGAUACUCAUAAACCAAAAGUGAUAUCAGAAACUCAUAAAAAAGAAACUGAACAAGCCAAAGAAGAACUUGCUUGGAUUUUGACUAAAAAAGCAGCACAUGAAAAGAGAGAUGAUAGACCACUGAAGGCAGCCGAACAAGAUAAACCAAAACCUAAAGAAUCAAAGUUUGAGAAAGAAAAAGUGAAACUACCUGCUGCCACAAAAGAUAAGGUCAAAGAGCUCAUUAAGAGAAAAGAAGUGAAGCUGUCGGCUCCCACAAAGCAAAAUGGGACCACAAAGGAAAAGGACAUGAAGGUGCCAGUUGCUAAAGAAAAAGAACCUGCAAAACUAAAAGUAAGGCCUGCCACUGCUGCCAAAGAAAGAGAGGCAGGAAAAAUAAAGGAAACGAAGCCUCCAGUUGCACAGAAACAGAAAGGUCAUGAAACUGUAAAACAUGAAAAGCCUAUCUCCUCCUCUAAAUCAGAACAAGAAACUGUUAAGCAUGAAAAAGAAGUUCCUCAAAGAAAACCAGCCAAGUCCAAAGAAACGACAAAACCUUCAACUGAAAUUACAGUACCAGACAAGAAGAAAGCAGAAAAGGCUGAGAAGGAAAGGGGAGGAAAAACAGUGGAGAAAACACAUGUGAAAGAAGAAAAGGCGAAAGUCCCAGUGGUAAAAGAAAUCCACCAACAUCGCAAUGUGACAACAGACAAGAUGUCAAAGGCAGCAAAAGCAGCAUCUGCUGUUCGCUACUAUCAAUGUGUCUUCGUAAAUGGAUACAAUGGCUAUACAUCACAACACCCUGUUACUCCAGCUCAGGACUACAAAGGAAAGGCUGUCCAGCCAAAGAUUUCGAGGCACAAGACCAAGACAUCAAAACAAUAGAGCCAAGUGACCUGCGAUGUUUUGACAAUUUUGCACUAUAUGCCUUCUACAGAGGGCCUUAUGAAAUCUGUCGGCACCUGUGAUCACAAAAAUGUGAUCCAGUAGGUCACAUGCACUUAAAGAGGUUUUCUGCUCUUUACCAGAGCAGUAAUGGUAACAAGAGGAAAAGAUGGAGUAGUGUUUGAGAGAGUAUCCAAGUACCCCUUUCCUGGAGGAAAGCAUGGUGCUGAAAUAGUACUUGCCAGAAAGGAAAGUGUGUGUGCGCAUGUUUGCCUGUGAGAAGUUGUGUGAAUUUGUUGUUGCUGCUGCUGCUGCUGUUGAUAUGCUGUUUCUGGUGUGUUUGUUUUGUUGGAACAAAAAAGCAGUUUCCAUGUAUUCAGUGUAAGGAAAAGUGCUCCCAGCUGAAAUGACUUAAGAAUCAUAUGUCACAUUAUUUGCAACCCAUGUUGGUACUCGGUUCCAUAAAUGGAAAGAUAUCGGUGUUCAAAUUUAAAUAUAUCAUUAGACAUAUUGCUUACAAUACGAGUUGAUUUAAUGAACCCUUGUAUGUUUGUAAUAAGGUGACUCCUCACUGAUGUCUAUAUAUUUAUUGGAUAAAGAAAUGUCUCCCCCCUACACAUACUCCUGUCACCCUGCAUGAUUUUGGUAUUUAGAUCCCAAAGUUCUUCAUACAUCUGUUUCAGUAAGAUACCUUUUGACAUUAAAUAAUACAUUGUAUAUAUAGUGAGGGAGUUCACUUGGAAGCAAGGAAUCCUGUAAAACAAAACCCUGUAAGUAAUCAAAAGACAAAAAUCUUUAUUUUUCAGGUUUCUUGGGGCAGAGGGGAGAGGUCCAAAGCUACUCUCCUCAAAAUGAUUCCAUCAUAUUCAGCAUUAGCAGUAAGCAGGUUCACCAGCUCCAAAAGGUUGGAGCACUGCAGCAAACAAUGCCUUUAGACUGUCACCUGCAUCCCUACAAAUCAGGCUCAUGGGUGUGGAUCUGGAAUUUUCAUAAGGAUUCGCCACUCCAACCACAGUGAGAGGGACCCUUCCAGAUGCUCCUGGUCAUCCAUACAGCCAUGAAAGUAGCAAAGAAGACUGCAUGGAUCCAUCACUCUUACCUGAAACCUGCCGUUGUGGACCACAGCCCCGUUGUGCUGUCCAUCAAGUUAAGAAGACAAGAAGAUUCAGAGGACUGGACUAUUGCAUGCCUAUUUGAAGAACAGAAUGGGGUUUCUGGGCCUCUGGUUGGGUCUUGCUUUCCUUGUGAGGGAGACAAAUCCAGAUAGACCCCCAUGCUAGGGUAUUGGUAAAGGCCAGUGCCCAAAAGUCCAAAGUGCCCUUACUUGAGCCCAACUUGGAAGGGAUGUCUGGUUCCUCCACCGCCCUAGUCAGGGAGUCUGUACAAGGGAAGAACUCAUAGUUGAAUUGGAUAGUCUGAAGGCCUAUGUUUGUAUCUCCCCUACCUCAGAGAUGGGGAAGCUGGUGAUGGCAAAAAUGAGGAAGAAGAGGGUAAAGGAAACCCCCAUACUUGAGUCAAUAACUGAGACUUAAGCAAAUCUUAGUGAAAGGGCCACUAACCUCACUGAGAAUAAUCCUGAGGGUGGAAAUCUCAAAGAGUUCCAAUAUUCUUUAAAGUACAAUUUCUUUCUUGAACUGGCCUCCACUGCCUUAAAUAGCUCCACCUUUGUGUAGCACAUAUACUUUCUGUGGGAGAAACCUUUGCUACUUGUAUGUAUGGUCUGCCAAGCUCCCAAAAGGAGCUCCAACAGGAGGGGGGAAUUCACCUUGGCCAGGGAACAGACACUGAAGUGUCCUCUUUUGGACCCAACAAACCCCAUCCCCUCACUAACCAGAUAAAAGCUUGAGUAGGAACCAUGGGAAAUCCCCAAAGGCCUGCUACUUGUCUAAUGCUGAAAAGGAAAAAUAGGGUGAAUGGUUUCCAAGGAGGCAGAGUAUAUCAAAAGCCCCCAAAACCUAACUAGUCCAGAUCACACUCUCUCCCAUCCUCCCCCCCUCCCACCCUCUCGUUCCUCAACCCAGACAGCCUGUUCUCCCCUUUUUUUGCCUCUGGGAUUCUUUCUACUAUGUGGAAACCUAGAUUAUACCUAUAUUCUGUCCAAUAGCUCGGGAGCCCGUGUGCCCUCAGACACUUGACUUCCCUCGCCAUGUUACCCUCAAAGGAGUACCUAAAUCAGACCCUUGUCUUGAGAGUAUAAGUUUGCUGCUCAAUGACUGAAUAAAUUUAUCUUAUCUUGAGAGUAUAAGUGGGAAAUAUAACAUUUGCAUAUAGCAAAUCGGAACCUUUGGGAUUAAAGUAACACAUUGGACUGGGUCUCAUGAUCAGUGAGACCCGGUUCCUAGCGGUGAGCGGGAAGAGCGGGCUAAGCCCGCUCUCCCCGCUCAUGAGCAGGCAGGGAGCCCUGGGUGGCCGGAUCAUCCGUCCACACGAUGGCCAGUUCCGAGACGGAGCCGCUGGGGGCUGGGGAUCUCGGGGGCCGCAUGGCCCCCGGAAGCCCCAGUAUGCCCUGCAUGAGCGCGCAGGGCAUACUGGGGAGACCCCCAAUGCUUUUAAGCCUCCCAGCUGGGGGUCUCCUCACGAGCAGCUGUGGCACAGAUCCGCACUGCAGCUACUCACGAGCAGAUAGCCCGGGUUUGCGGAGCACUUGCUCCGCAAACCCGGGCUAAGGGGCGGGCUACAGGAGUGGGUUAGCCGCUCCAGAACCACCGGGCUUGGCUGCGAGCCCGGUGGUUCUGACGAUCACAAAAAUCGGGCUAGGAUUUUCCUAGCCCUAUUUGUGUGAUCAUAAGAAUAGCCACUUUGGCUUGUGUACGAUGCACAGGUGCAAAAGUUGUUUACUCCACAGUAUAAAAAGAUAAAUCUAGCUCUUAAGCAGGAUGUAUUCAUUGCUACUAGUUUUGCAAACUAAAAUGUGCAAAGUGUCUCUUGUUGGCAUUGGUAUAUAUAUAUUUCAGUUUGAGAAAGUUGUAAGGUUCAGUUUUUUUCAGUUAAAGGUAUUUUGUUUACAUAUGGUUUCAAACAAAUCUCCUGUCCAUCCUGAUAGUUUAGUUAUCAGCAGUAAUUUAUAACUGAUGAAUGUCUUUCUCUAUGCUUGAUGUGCAAGUUGUCAUAGCCUUUCUCAACAUUCUAAGCCAAAUUUAUGCGUUCAUGUUUCACUCCUAUAAUGUGUUGGUGUUAGGAGAUAAGACUACCAGAGAAAUUGUAUUACACCAGUGGACUCAAAGAUCAGAUGUUAGUGCACAGUCUUUAGCCCAAAAAUAUAGGCCCCAGUAUGUUAAUAACCAAUUGUUCUGAUUGAAUUUUAUCAGCAAGCAGAAACUGAAAGAACAAAGCAUUGUCAGAUAUCGAAAGAAAAUCCAUUAUAAAGCAAACAGUUCAGAUGGCUAAAGUCAAUCUCCUGAAACCAAACCACAGAAGUUAAGCACUGCUGUUCAUUACAAAGAUUGCAAAAUUUCAACCUGCAAUAAACGUCAUUUUUUCCCUGGCUGAAUACAGGGAUUGAAUUUUUGACUUCCAUAAUUUCUAGGUCCGAUUCCUUUGUUAUUCCUGUACUACAGGAAUUCCAAGAAGCUUAGGAAAGAAAAAAAUGUGAAAUGGGUAAGAUAUAUUUUCAAUUCUGUAGUAUGGUUACAGAUGAGUAUGGAAAUGAAAGAUGACUGUGACAAGUGCUGGUUGCAUGCAAAUAAGGACAGUAGAAAUACGGGUAGAAAUGAGUGCAGAGUGGAAAGAAGGGAAAUGGGCUAUGAUCUGACUGAGACUUGUUAGGUAGCAAACAGUGGCUUAUAAUUAGAGGGGGAAGAUCAUAGUUGCACAGGACAAAGGCAGAAAUUGUGAGCCCAAGAGGGUAAAAAAUGUUGACAGGCCAGCAUUGCAAAGGAAUACUGAAGAGAAAUGAGAAAUGAAAAAUGAGUUAGAGUGGCUUGAGGGCUAAAUGGGAUGCAGAAACGGAGGGCCAAAAGAAAGAAUGUUUGGCCUUAGGUUUUGAGAGACAAGACAAAACUAAUAGAAAAUGCUUCUUAGGAACUGAAGAAAUAAUUAUUGAAGGGGACUUUACUGAAUUUUUGACCGUGCUCAUGUGCAGUUCCUACAAUGAGUUUGUACUGGUGUGUACUCAGAGAGACCAUAGUAUAUGGACUGGUGCUAAAUAGUGUUAUAAUAGUAGUACUAGUGGUAAGGAACACAUUGGAUUUGAUCCAGGUCCUUUGUGGGUGCAGUACCUGACAUGGAAGAAAUUCCAUAAAACAUAACAGAGCCUGGUUUCCCCACCUUCCUCAGAGAUGCAGCAUGCCAAGUUAUUAAAGGAAUGGGAAACCUGUGUCUGGUCAUUCCAGUACAACCUUUCCCCACUUCUCUCAAUCAGGGAAUAUGAGUGCCUGCAUGUGCACCCAUAUGCAUGUACUGAGGCAGCGGAUGGGGGAACAGGACUCUGUUAAGUCCUAUAGUGAUCCCCCUGUGACUGGCUGCCACAUCAAAGGUAGGACUCAAUUUAGUCCAAUAUAUACUAAUAGCACACAGCUGAAUCAAUGUUGUAUAAAUUCACUACCCUGUAAGUAUGAGCCCAUACUGUUAACCUAGUAUUUAUUUAUUUUUUAUUUAUUUUUGCAUUUAUAUACCGCCUUUCAUUAAAAAGAUAACCCCAAGGCGGUUUACAAAAGUUAAAAACAUACAGUAGUCUAAAAUGGGAGAAAGGGGCAGAGCAACAUGUAGACCAAGAAUUUUUGCUGGCUUGCCUGGGAAUAGUUUCCAAAGCUGAACAAGUUGGGCAGCACAAAAAUAUCCUUAAAGUUUUACCACACAAGAGCACUCCUCUGGUAUCAUGAAGCCUUUUGAAUCCAUGUUGGUAGUUUGGAAUGUUAGUUCCUCCACUGCACACCCAUAGACAGUGGCUAAAAAUGCUGCAUGUCAUGGAAGAUUAAACGAUUCAGAUCUCAGGAGAUCAUGCUUAUCAGAGGCAUUUAAUUUUCCUUGGAAUUUUGCUUAACACCUUCCCUAGGAAAUCUAAUGAGAAACAAAGAUUUUUAUUCUUUAGACUUGGUAGUUUAAUUAAUGUUGUGUGGGUUUUUUGAGGGGGGGGUUGCUUUUGAUUUGAAAAGUAAUACACUAAAAUUUUCAUUCAAUUCACAAUUACAUUUUAUAGCUGUAGGACCACACAUUAAAACAUUGAACCUAUUGUGAUGAAGAGGCAAUCCCAAAGGUUCUAUAGAAGAACACCUGAAAGUAAACAAAGUACUGGAACAUUUUGGGGUGUGUGUGUGAGAGAGAGAGAGCGAGAGCGAGCGCAUGCACACACAUGCAUACUUAUUUGGUAUAUACUUCAGCAUAUGGCUACUAACAUGUUUCCCUUUAAGAGCGAUCAUAGCCCUGUUCAGAUGUUCUCCGAGAAAAUCAAGCAUGUGAGGGGUGGAAACCACACAGUCCCUACCAUCCACAUGCCAUCUAACCACACCCUUAGGAGUCCCUGAAUUCAGAAUUUGACUGGAAAGGCAAGCACUGAGUGUGGGGAGGGUUAUUCCCCAUGACUGAAAAUCCUGAACAUUCCAGGGUUUUCAGUGAUGGGGCGAAACCCUCCUCACCUUCAGCACUUGCCUCUGCAGAAAAAUGUUUAGUGCAGAGAGAGUGGGAAGCAUGACUAGAGUCAGGACAACGUUUUAACAGGUGCAUUCUUGCUACACCCCUCAUAGUUGUUCUCCUAAUGUCUGAACAGGACUCAUACUACUUUAUUGUUGCUCUUAAAAAUACAUUUGAUAUAGCAGAUAUUUUGUCAUGAACCUAUUACAUCAUCUAAACAUGUUUGUUACAUUUAUUGGUAUGUUAAUGUGAAACUUUUAGGAGAUGGAAAUAUUUAAUUGCAAAAUAAAUAUUUCAAUGGACUUUCAAUUGAACUUUGAGGCUGGAAUUCUCCAAAGAAACAUGCAACAUAUAAACAUACUGUUGGUUUAUGUCAAACUACCUACUGCUGUACAUUUUGUCUGUGUUUUAUAUUUUAGAAAAUGUUACCAGCUCUCUUAAAUAAAAGGGAAAUUAUUUCAACUCA